CGCCCGGCUGUGCGGGGACGCCCUCGGCCGCUGACGCCGGCCGCGGCCGGUGCGUGCCGGGUUCGGCGGCCUGUUCGGCGCCGGGCUGGGCGU
Molecule: transfer RNA, 93 nt
Filed under: Streptomyces olivaceus
Lineage: Bacteria; Bacillati; Actinomycetota; Actinomycetes; Kitasatosporales; Streptomycetaceae
Description: tRNA-Val
Source: RNAcentral